Molecule: ribosomal RNA, 278 nt
Filed under: uncultured Ruminiclostridium sp.
Lineage: Bacteria; Bacillati; Bacillota; Clostridia; Eubacteriales; Oscillospiraceae
Description: partial 16S ribosomal RNA
Rfam family: Bacterial small subunit ribosomal RNA
Source: RNAcentral
GCAGCCGCGGUAAUACGGAGGAUGCGAGCGUUAUCCGGAUUUAUUGGGUUUAAAGGGAGCGUAGGUGGCCUGUUAAGCCAGCUGUGAAAUACUGUAGCUCAACUACAGCCGUGCAGUUGGAACUGGCGGGCUUGAGUGCACAAGAGGAAGGUGGAAUUCAUGGUGUAGCGGUGAAAUGUUUAGAUAUCAUGAAGAACUCCGAUUGCGAAGGCAGCCUUCUGGAGUGCAACUGACACUGAGGCUCGAAAGUGUGGGUAUCGAACAGGAUUAGAUACCCC